Molecule: non-coding RNA, 21 nt
Filed under: Caenorhabditis elegans
Lineage: Eukaryota; Metazoa; Nematoda; Chromadorea; Rhabditida; Rhabditidae
Source: RNAcentral
UUUACGAUUGGAACCUUGCUU